This 7319-nucleotide long non-coding RNA is filed under the name Actinidia chinensis (golden kiwifruit). RNAcentral describes it as "long non-coding RNA (ACHI_LNC000762)". The record is from RNAcentral. Lineage: Eukaryota; Viridiplantae; Streptophyta; Magnoliopsida; Ericales; Actinidiaceae.
GCCUUUAAAUAUUGAGGUACGUAACAACAUUUGAAAUUGUAUAUUUAUUUUGGACAAUAAUUAACUUGAGCUUGAAUUUCCCGGGUUCAAUUUCAAACUCAAGUUAAUUAGGUUAUGUUAGACAACGCCUUAUAUUGUAUUUUCUCUAUUUCAAGUUAUGCUGAAUUGAAUAUUUGUGUAAUAAGUAGUGACUGUUUCGCAUUUGUUUUGUUUUGCGAGGACUAAUGCCAUUGACUAUCGGGUUUAAGGUCAACCUCAAAUUAUUUAGGUAUUAUUUGACAAUGCUUUAUGUUGUACUUUGUUUGUUUCAAGUUAUGCUGAUUUUAAUUUUUGAGUAAUGAGUAGUGACUGUUUUGCAUUUAUUGUGUUGUGCGAGAACUGAUGCUGUUACCAAGUACUCUCAAAUACAUAUCUCCACGCCUUUAAAUAUUGAGGUACGUAACAAACAUUUGAAAUUGUAUAUUUAUUUUGGACAAAAUUAACUUGAGCUUGAAAUUUCCGCGGUUUCAAUUUCCAAACUCAGUUAAUUAGAUUAUGUUAGACAACGCCUUAUAUGUAUUUUCUCUAUUUCAAGUUAUGCUGAAUUGAAUAUUGUGUAAUAAGUAGGAACUGUUCGCUUUGUUUUUGUUUUGCGAGGACUAAUGCAUUGACUAUCGGUUUUAACGUCCAACCUCAAUUAUUUAGGUAUUGACAAUGCCUUAUGUUGGUACUUUUUUAUUUCAAGUUAUUCUGAUUUGAUUUUUGAGUAAUGAGAGUACUGUUUUGCAAUUUAUUGUGUUGUGCGAGAACUGAUGCUAUUACCAAGUACUCUCAAAUACAUAUUCACGCCUUAACAUGUUGGGUACGUAAAAACAUUUGGAAAUUGUAUAUUUUAUUUGACAAUACUUAUUGAACUUGAAAUUUUCCGGGUUCAAUUUAAAACUCAGUUAAUUAGGUUAUGUUAGACCACCCUUAUAUUGUAUUUUCCUCUAUUUCAAGUUAUACUAAUUUUGAAAUAUUUGUGUAUAAUUAGUUACUGUUUUGCAUUUAUUUUGUUUUGCGAGGACUAAUGACAUUGACUAUCGGGCUAAACUUCAACCACAAAUUUUUAGGUAUUAUUUGACAAUGCUUUAAUUGUAACUUUGUUUAUUUCAAGUUAUGCUGAUUUUGACUUUUUGAGUACUGAUAGUGCUGACUGUUUUGGCAGAAAUGAUGCUCUACCAUACUCUCAAAUACCUAUCUCCAGCCUUAAAUAUUUAGGUACGUAACAAACAUUUGAAAUUGUAUAUUUAUUUUGGACAUAAGUAACUUGAGCUUGAAAUUCUCGGGUUUACUUUCAAAUCAGUGAAUUAGGUAUUGUUAGCCAACGCCUAUAUUUUAAUUUUCUCUAUUUCAAGUUAAGGCUGAUUUGAAUAUUGGUGUAAUAAGUAGUGACUGUUUUGCAUUGAAUUUGUUUUUGUCAAGAACUAAUGACCUGCUAUCGGGCUAACUUCAACCACAAAUGAUUUAGGAUAUAUUUGACAAUGCUUUAUGUUGAACUUUGUUUAUUUCAUGUAGCGGAAUUUGAAUUUUUGAGUAUGAGUAGUGACUGUUUUUGGCAUUUAGUGUGUUGUUCGCGAACUGUCUAUUAACAAGUACUCUUCAAAUACUUAUCUCCAUGCCUUUAAAUAUUGAUGUACUAACACACAUUUGAAAUUGUAUAUUUUAUUUGAACAAUAAUUACUUUAGCUUGAAAUUUUUCGGUUUAUUUAAACUUCAAGUUAAUUAGGUUAAUGUUAGACAACGCCUUAUAUUGUAUUUUCUCUAUUUCAAGUUAGCUGCUGAUUUAAAUAUUUGUGUAAUCAAGUAGUGACUGUUUACAAUUGUUUUUGUUUUGCGAGGACUAAUGCCAUUGACUAUUGGGUUUAACUUCACCUCAGAUUAUUUAGGUAUUAUUGACAUUCUUAUGUUGUACUUUGUUUAUUUCAAGUUAUGCUGAUUUGACUUUUGAGUAAUGACUAGUUACUGUUUUGCAUUUUAUUGUGUUGUGCGAGAACUGAUGCUACUUCCAAGUACUCUCAAAUACUAUCAUCCAUGCUUUAAAUAUUGAGGUACUACAACAUUUGAAUGUAAUUUUAUUUUGGACAAUAAUUACUGAGCUUGAAAUUUUCCUGGGUUCAAUUUAAAACUCAAGUUAAUUAGGUUAUGUUAGACAACGCCUUAGUUGUAUUUUCCUCUAUUUCAAGUUAUGCUAAUUUGAAUAUUUGUGUAAAAUAGUCGGUUUUGCAUUUGUUUUGUUUUGCGAGGACAAUGACAUUGACCUAAUCGGGCUAACUUCAACCACAAAUAUUGAUAUUGAUUUGACAAUGCUUUAUGUUGAACUUUGUGUAGUCAAGUUUGCUGAUUUGAUGUUUGAGUAAUGAUAGUGACUGUUUUGCUUUAUGGUGUGUGCGGACUUAUGCUGUUAGCAAGGACUUCUCAAUACAUAUACCUCCACGCCUUUAAAUAUUGAGGUACGUAACCAACAUUUAAACUGUAUAUUUAUCUCGGACAUAAUUAACUUGAGCUUGAACUUUUUCGUGUUCAAUUUCAAACUCAAGUUAAUUAGGUUAUGUUAGCAACGCCUUUGUUGUAUUUUCUCUAUUUUCGAAUUUCGCGAUUUGAAUAUUUGUGUAAUAGUAGUGACUGUUUUGCAUUUGUUUUGUUUGCGGGACUACUGCCAUUGCCUAUUGGAUUAACUUCAACCUCAGAUUAUUAGGUAUUAUUUGACAAUGCUUUAUGUUGCACUUUGUUUAUUUCAAGUUAUGCUUAUUUGAUUGAAUUUUUGAGGUAAGAGUAGUUAGUUUUGCAUUGAUUUGUGUUGUGCGAAAACUGAGCUAUUACCAAGCAGUACUCUCAAAUACAUAAAUCCUCCACGCCUUUAAAUAUUGAGGUACGUAACAAACAUUUAAAACUGUAUAUUUAUCUCGGACAAUAAUUAAACUUGACUUGCAUUUUUCGGGUUCAAUUCAACUCAAGUUAGUUAGGUUAUGUUAGACAACGCCUUAUGUUUUUGUAUUUUCCCUAUUUCGAAUUUCUGCUGACAAUUUGAAUACUUGUGUAAUAAGUAGUGAUGUUGUGCAUUUGUUUUGUUUUGCGAGGACUAAUUGCCAUUGACUAUUGGAUUUUUAACUUCAACCUCAGAUUAUUUAGGUAUUAUUGGACAAUGCUUAUGUUGCUACUUUGUUUAUUUCAAGUUAGGCUGAUUUGAAUUUUUUAGUAAUGAGUAGUUACCUGUUUGCAUUAUUGUGUUGUGCGAGAACUGAUGCUAUUACCAGUACUUCAAAUACAUAUCUCCAUGCCUUUAAAUAUUGAGGUACGUCAACAACAUUUGAAAUUGUAUAUAUUUAUUUUUGCGACAAUAAUUAUACUUGAGCUUGAAAGUUUUCCUGGUUCAAUUAAAACUAAUUUAAUUGGUUAUGUUACAGACAACCUUGUCGCCUUAAUAUUGUAUUUUCUCUAAUUUCAAGUUAUGCUCUUUGAAUAUGGUGUAAUACGUAGUUCUUGUUUCGCAUUUGUUUUGUUUUGCGAGGACUAAUGACAUGACUAUCGGGCUUUUCAAACUUCAACUCAGAUUAUUUAGGUAUUAUUUGACAAUGAUUUAUGUUGAACUUUGUUUAUUUCAGUUAUGCUGAUUUAAAUUUGAGUGAAUGCGUAGUGAUUGUUUUGCAUUUAUUGUGUUGUGCGAGAAUGAUGCUAUCCACGUACUCUCAAAUACAGAAUCUCCACGCCUUUUAAAAUAUUGAGGUACGUAACAAACAUUGAAAUUGUAUAUUUAUUUUGGGACAAUAAAUUAAACUUGAGCUUGAAAUUUUCCGGGUUCAAUUGAAAAACUCAAGGUAAUUAGGAUGUUAGCAACGCUUAAUUGUAUGUUCUCUAUUUCAAGUUAUGACUAAUUUGAAUAUUGUGUUGUAUAAAGUAGUGACUGUUUUGCAUUUGUUUUGUUUUGCGCGGACUAAUGAGAUGACUCUCAAACUGUAUUUAUUCUUGAGACAAUAAUUAAUUUGAUCUUGAAUUUCUCGGAUCAGUUCAAACUCAUGUUAAUUAGGGGUAGGUUAGACAACGCCUUAGUGUAUUUUCUCUAUUUCGAAUUACACUGAUUGAAUAUUGUUGUAAUAAGUAGUAACUGUUGGUAUUUGUUUUGUUUUGCGAGGACGAAUGCCAUGACUACGGGUUUAACUUAACCUCAAAUUCUUAGUAUUAUUUGACCAAUGCUUAUGUUUGGACUGGUAUUUCAAGUUAUCCUGAUUGAAUUUUUGAGUAGUAAAUAGUGACUGUUUUGCAUUAUUUAUUGUGCGAGAAACUGAUGUUUACCAAGUACUCUCAAAUAAAUAUCUCCACGCUUUAAAUAUUGAGGUACGUAACAAAAAAUGUAAAACUGUAUAUUAUCUCGGACAAUAAUUAACUUGAGCUUGAAAUUUUUCGGGUUCAAUUUCAAACUCAAGUUAGUUAGGUUAUGUUAGAAAACGCCCUUAUGUUGGAUGAUGUUGGAUUUUCUCUAUUUCGAAUUUCGCUGAUUUUGAUAUGUGGUAAUAAGUAGUGAAUGUUUUGCAUUUGUUUUGUUUUCCGAGGACUAAUGCCAUUGAACUAUUGGGAUUAACUUCAACCUAAGCUAUUUAGGUAUUAUUUGACAAUGCUUUAUGUUGUACUUUGUGUAUUUCAAGUUAUGUGAUUGAAUUUUUGAGUAAUGAGUAGUUACUGUUUUGCAUUUAUUGGGUUGUCGAGAACUGAUGCUAUUACCAAGUACUCUCAAAUACAUUAUCUCCAUGCUUAAAUAUUGAGGUAAGUAACAAACAUUUGAAAUUGUAUAUUUUUUUUGGACAAUAAUUAAUUGAGCUUGAAAUUUUCCGGGUUAAUUUAACAACUCAAGUUAAUUAGGUGUAUGUUAGCACCGCCGCAUAUUUGUAUUUUCUCUAUUUCAAGUUAUGCUAAUUUGAAUAUUUGUGUUAAAUAAGUAGUUACUGUUGCAUUUGUUUUGUAUUUGCGAGGACUAAUGACCAUUGGGACUCGGGGCUACUAACUUCAAACCACAAAUUAUUUAGGUAUAUUGACAAUGAUUUAGUUGUACUUUGUUUAUUUCAAGUUAUGUGUUUGAAUUUUUGAGUAAUGAGUAGUGACUGAUUUGCAUUAUGUGUGUGCGAGAACUGAUGCUGUUACCAAGUACUCUCAAAUACAUUUCUCCACGCCUUUAAAUUAUUGAGGUACGUAACAAAAUUUGAAAUUAUAUAUUAUGCUGGACAAUAAUUAACUUGAACUUGAAAUUCCCGGUUUCAAUUUCAACCAGUUAAUUAGGUUAUGUUAGAAAACGCCUUAUAUUGUAUUUUCUCUAUUCAAGUUAUGUUGAAUUGAAUAUGUUGUAAAUAGUUAGUGAACUGUUUCGCAUUUGUUUUGUUUUGCGAGGGACUAAUUCCAUUGACUAUCGGAGUUUAAGCUUCAACCUCAGAUUAUUUAGGUAUUAUUUGACAAUGGUUUAUGUUGAACUUUGUUUAUUUCAAGUUAUGCUGAUUUAAUUUUUGAGGAAUGAGUAGUUAUUGUUUGCAUUUAUUGUGUUGGGCGAGAAAUGAUGUAUUACAAGUAUUCAAAAUACAUAGCUCCCACAGAGCCUUUAAAUAUUGAGUACGUAACAAACAUUGAAAAUUGUAUAUGUAUUUUGGACAAUAAUUAAACUUGAGCUUGACAUUCCCGGGUUCAAUUAAAACUGCAAGUUAGUUAAUUAGGUUUUUAUGUUAGGCAACGCGUAUUGUAUUUUCUAUAUUUCAAGUUAUGCUAAAUUUGAAAUAUUUGGUAAUGUAAUAAGUAGUGCUGUUUCAUUUGUUUUGUUUUGCGAGGACUUAAUGAUAUUGACUAUCGGGCUAAACUCAACCACAAAUUAUUUAGGUAUUAUUUGACAUGCGUUAUUGGAACUUUGUGUAUUUCAAGUUAUGCGAUUUGAAUUUUGGUGAGUAAAUGAGUAUGACUAUGUUUUGAAUUUAUUGUGUUGAUGCGAGAACUGAUGCUGUUACACCAAGUACUCUCAAAAUACAUAUAUCCACGCCUUUAAAUAUUGAGGUACGUAACAAACAUUUGAAAUUAUAUAUUUAUGUUGGACAAUAAUUAAUUGAGAACUUGAAAUUUCCCGGUUCAUUUCAAACUCAAGUUAAUUAGGUUAUGUUAGAUCAACGCCUCUUAUAUUGUCUUUUCUCAUUUCAAGUUAUGAUGAAAUUGAAAUUGUGUGUAAUAAGUGGUGACUGGUUUCGCAUUUGUUUUGUUUGGCGAGGACUAAUGCGAUUGACUAUCGGUGUUUUAACUUAAACCUCAGAUUAUUUAGGUAUUAGUAUUUGACCAAUUAUUUAUGUUGAACUUUGUUUAUUUCAAGUUAUGCUGAUUUGAAUUUUUGAGUAAUGAGUAGUGACUGUUUUGCAUUUAUGUUGUGCCUGAGAAGCUGAGCUAUUACCAAGUACUCUCAAAUAAUUCUCCCGGACGCCUUUAAAUAUUGAAGGACGUAACAAACAUUUGAAAUUGUAUAGUUAUUUUGGACAAUAAUUACUUGAGCUUGCAAUUUCCCGGGUUCAUUUCAAAAUCCAGUUUAAUAGGUUAUGUUAGGCAAGCCUUAUAUGUAUUUUCUUCUAUUUCACGUUCUUGCACAUUUGCAUCUUUGUGUAAUAAGUCGUGAUCUGUUUUGCAUGUGUUUUGUGUUUGGCGAGGAUAAUGAUAAUUGACUACGGGCUAAACUUCAACACAAAUUAAUGUAGGUAUAUUUGACAAUGAUUUAUGUUGAACUUGUGUAUUCAAGUAUGCUUGAUUUGCAUUUUGCAGAAUGAGUAAGUGCUGUUUUGCAUUUAUGUGUUGUGUGACGGGAGAACUGAUGACUUGUUACCAAGUUACUCUCAGUAAAUUACAUAUCUCCACGCCUUUAAAUAUUGAGGUACGUAACAAACAUUUGAAAUUAUAUAUUUAUGUUGGACAAUAAUUAACUUGAACUUGAAAUUUCCCGGUUUCAAUUUCAAACUCAAGUUAAUUAGGUUAUGUUAGACAACGCCUUAUAUUGUAUUUUCUCUAUUUCAAGUUAUGCUGAAUUGAAUAUUUGUGUAAUAAGUAGUGACUGUUUCGCAUUUGUUUUGUUUUGCGAGGACUAAUGCCAUUGACUAUGGGUUUAACUUCAACCUCAGAUUAUUUAGGUAUUAUUUGACAAUCAUUUAUGUUGAACUUUGUUUAUUUCAAGUUAUGCUGAUUUGAAUUUUUGAGUAAUGAGUAGUGACUGUUUUGCAUUUAUUGUGUUGUGCGAGAACUGAUGCUGUUACCAAGUACUCUCAAAUACAUAUCUCCACGCCUUUAAAUAUUGA